RNAcentral lists this ribosomal RNA (490 nucleotides) under uncultured bacterium. Its description in RNAcentral is "partial 16S ribosomal RNA". It matches the Rfam family "Bacterial small subunit ribosomal RNA", at positions 28 to 507 of the family's 1533-position model. The record is from RNAcentral.
GAUGAACGCUAGCUACAGGCUUAACACAUGCAAGUCGCGGGGCAGCAUGGGGGUUGCUUGCAAUCCCCGAUGGCGACCGGCGCACGGGUGAGUAACGCGUAUCCAACCUGCCCUUCACCACGGGAUAACCCGGCGAAAGUCGGACUAAUACCGUAUGUUGUCCAUUGACGGCAUCCGAUUUGGACGAAAGGCUUGGCGGUGAGGGAUGGGGAUGCGUCCGAUUAGCCAGACGGCGGGGUAACGGCCCACCGUGGCUACGAUCGGUAGGGGUUCUGAGAGGAAGGUCCCCCACACUGGAACUGAGACACGGUCCAGACUCCUACGGGAGGCAGCAGUGAGGAAUAUUGGUCAAGGGGCGUAAGCCUGAACCAGCCAAGUAGCGUGCAGGAUGACGGCCCUAUGGGUUGUAAACUGCUUUUAUGCGGGGAUAAAGUGGCCCACGUGUGGGCUUUUGCAGGUACCGCAUGAAUAAGGACCGGCUAAUUCCGUG